Molecule: ribosomal RNA, 497 nt
Filed under: uncultured bacterium
Lineage: Bacteria
Description: partial 16S ribosomal RNA
Rfam family: Bacterial small subunit ribosomal RNA
Source: RNAcentral
GACGAACGCUGGCGGCGUGCCUAAUACAUGCAAGUAGAACGCUGAAGGAAGGAGCUUGCUCUUUCUGGAUGAGUUGCGAACGGGUGAGUAACGCGUAGGUAACCUGCCUGGUAGCGGGGGAUAACUAUUGGAAACGAUAGCUAAUACCGCAUAAAAUUGAUUAUUGCAUGAUAGUCAAUUAAAAGGUGCUACUGCACCACUACCAGAUGGACCUGCGUUGUAUUAGCUAGUUGGUGGGGUAACGGCUUACCAAGGCGACGAUACAUAGCCGACCUGAGAGGGGGAUCGGCCAACAUGGGACUGGGACCAGGCCCAGAAUCCUACGGGAGGCAGCAGUAGGGAAUCGUCGGCAAAGGACGGAAGUCGGACCGAGAAAAGGCGAGUGAGUGAAGAAGGUUUUCGGGUCGUAAAGCUCUGUUGUAAGAGAAGAACGAGUGUGAGAGUGGAAAGUUCACACUGUGACGGUAUCUUACCAGAAAGGGACGGCUAACUACGUG